UCAAUCAACUCAGUGAAUUUCAUCGCAUGCAUACCGAAACCCAUUUUUCAAUCAACUCUAUGAACUCAUCGCUUUCACCGAUCAGCAUGCAUUUCGCGUUGCUUCUGUGAACUUCAUCGCUUCUGUGAUUUUGGGUUUCUGUGAAGUUUGAUUUCAGGCUUCACAAAAUCCUUUCUCUUUGCUCAUUCGCUCAACUUCCUCUGACGACUGAAAACAUUUUGGGCUUCGCUCAUUCGCUCGUUGAAAAACGAAGCUCUCUUCUUCUCCAACACCGCACCGCUCAUUUGCUCACCGAAACUGAGAGGAAACCAUUUCGCAGUGACGACAACAAAGCUGAGAGGAAACCAUUUCACAGUGACGAUAUUGGCUGGAAGGGAGAAGGUGUGAGAUAGAGAAGAACCUGCAGAGAACUCGGGCCAGACAAAAUGCAAGCGCAAUUUGUGCUUGGAAAGAAUAGUUGCUAACAAAUUAUAUUGAUUAAAGCUCCUUCUUCUUUCAACCUACCCUUGCAUCUUUAGCAUCACAUUUUGAGGUUUUGGACAGGGGAAAAAUAAAGAGCUUUUGGUUGACAAGACCGAGAACCUUCAUCACCAGGUUAGUAAUUGUGUGAUCGGAAUGUCUUAAACUUAAGCAUCAGUACUUGGGUUUUUCAUGCCAACAACUAUUUUCAUUCUAAUUCCUUAAGCAUUUUUUAUGAUGAUUGAUGGCAUGCUGAGUGUAAUGAUAAGAUCUACCUAUUCCUCCAUCCAACAUAAAAGAAACACUACCUAUUUUUUCAAAUCGAUUUGUUUUCAUUGUAACUUGAAAUUCUGGGUUCUAUCAGCAACAUAAUAAACUCUUAUUUUCAUUGUAACUUGAAUUAUGGCUUUAGAAACUUUGAAUUCCACUAUUUUCCAUUGUAGUGCCUAUGUUUGAGAUAUGUAUAAUCAUCGAUCACUUCGGUGGCAUUAGGAGAUAGAGCUUACUUGACAUCUUCUAGCUGAUAAUGAAGGUUGUUUGUGGCUACUAUUAGAGAUGAGGUUAAUGAGGGACUCGGUUUUGUUUUACUGUAAUGGGGGAAGGAUUAUCAUUACCUAAUCAAGUGUUAUUAAGAUAAUUUGUAAGCAUUUUUUAAGAUAUAAGGUUAACUAACUAGAACGAAAUGCUAAUGAGCUUAUAUAACUAACUGGAAUGAAAUGCUAAAGAGCUUAUAUAACUAACUGGAAUGAAAUGCUAGGCUCAAUUGCCUGGUUCUAGCUGUAUUGGUUAUGUAACUUGCAUUACACUACUAUUUUCCAUUGAAUACAUAUAAGAGUUUAGGUGUAGGUAAGAAAGUGGGCCAGUAGGAUAGGUAAGAGUUUAAGGGGGUUACGCGAAAUGUAUUCUAUAUGAGCGCUCUCUCUCUCUCUCUCUCUCUCUCUCUCUCUCUCUCUCUCUCUCUCUCUCUCUCUCUCUCUCUCUCUCUCUCUCUCUCUCUCUCUCUCUUACUAUUCUUUCUCUUCUAUUCAUAGCUAUGGAUCGUAGUUGGAUGCAAAAAAAACCGCUCAAGUGAAGAGUAUAAAAAAGGAGUGUUAGAGUUUUUGACAUUUGCCGAAACUAAUCUUCCCAAAAGUAAUGGACGAUUUCAUUGUCCUUGUGCUAAGUGUGUGAAUAUUGCACCUUUAAAUGCUAACAUCGUAUGGGAUCAUCUAAUAGUCAAUGGGAUUUGUCAAAAUUAUACGAAGUGGAUAUGGCACGGUGAAUUGUCUGAUGCGCCAAUGGCCUCCCUGAGAGAAGAGUUUGAUAUAGAGGCGAGUGAUUAUCUAGAAGAAAUGACUUGUGAUAUUGGACAAGACUCUUUUCAACGAGCACACGUACACGAUACUCUUUGCAAUGACAACAAAGUUCCUUUGUAUCCAAAUUGUAAAAACUUCACACGAUUGUCGGCCGUACUGAGAUUAUUCAAUUUGAAGGCAAUUAUUAGUUGGACCGAUAAAAGCUUCACACAAUUGCUUGAGUUGUGGAAGGAAAUGCUUUCAGAUGAAAACACGUUGCCGAACCGGGUGUAUGAUGCAAAAAAGAUAUUAUGUCCGAUGGGUAUGGAGUAUAAGAAAAUACAUGCAUGCCCCAAUGAUUGAAUAUCGUACUGGAAAGAUAAUGAAGAGAAAGAAAAGUGUCCCAAGUGUAUGACAUCACGAUAUAAGAAGAAAUGUGAUGAUGAAGGUUGUGAUGUAACCACAAAGGGUCCUCCAGCAAAGGUGUUAUGGUACCUUCCAAUUAUUCCGAGGUUUAAGCGAUUGUUUGCGAAUUUAAAUGUGAAGGAUAGAAAAACACUUAGAAAGGGGGGGGGGGGGUUUGAAUAAGUGUAGUCUAAAAACUUGAACGAUAAAAAUAAAAUGCACAGUUAUUUUUAUCCUGGUUCGUUGUUAACUAAACUAGUCCAGUCCACCCCCACGGAGUGAUUUACCUCACCUGAGGAUUUAAUCCACUAAUCGCAACAGAUUACAAUGGUUUUCCACUUAGUCCGCGACUAAGUCUUCUAGAGUAUCCUGAUCACAACCUGAUCACUCUAGGAACAAAUGCUUAGACACAAGCUAAGACUUUCUUAGAGUAUCCUGACCACCACGUGAUCACUCUAAUUACAACUGCUUAGACACAAGCUAAGACUUCCUAGAGUAUCCUGAUCAACACUUGAUCACUCUAGUUACUUACAAAUUAAUGUAAUCAAUUCUAAGAGUAUUACGAUUGCUUUUGAAAAGCUAUAAUCACAACAGUGAUAUUUCUCUUAACGUUUAAGCUUAAUCUCACUAAUAUAUUACAACAGCAAUGUAGUGAGCUUUGAUGAAGAUGAAGUUUCUGAGCUUUGAAUUUGAACAGCGUUUCAGCAAGUUAAUUGUUAGCAAAUCGUCAACCUUGCUUCACAUCAGAACUUCAUAUUUAUAGGCGUUUGAGAAGAUGACCGUUGGGCGCAUUUAAUGCUUUGCGUAUUCCGUACAACAUUGCAUUUAAUGUUUCACGCUUUUGUCAACUACCUCGAGCCUUGUUCACGCUGUGUCUACUGACGUUGCCUUUAAUAGCUUCCAACGUUCCUUUUGUCAGUCAGCGUAGCCUGCCACCUGUACUUUCUUCUGAUCUGAUGUUUUUGAAUAUAAUAUUUGAAUAUCAUCAGAGUCAAACAGCUUGGUGCAUAGCAUCUUCUUGUCUUCUGACCUUGAGGUGCUUCUGAGCGUGAUACCAUGAGAACUUCGGUGCUUCUGCUUCUGAUCUCAAGUUCUUCUGAUGCUUCCAUAGACCCAUGUUCUGAUUCUGCCUUGACCAUCUUCUGAUGUCUUGCCAGACCAUGUUCUGAUGUUGCAUGCUGAACCUUCUGAGACAAAGCUUCUGAGCGCUGAUUUGUGCAUACUCUUUAUAUAUUUCCUGAAAGAGAAAUUGCAAUGUAUUAGAGUACCACAUUAUCUCACACAAAAUUCAUAUCCUUGUUAUCAUCAAAACUAAGAAUAUUGAUCAGAACAAAUUUUGUUCUAACAAAAUGAUGCGAAGAAUAUUAGAUGGCAUGCAGAAGAGAGGAAUUGUGAUGGAAAAAUUUGGCAUCCGGCCGAUUCUUUGCAAUGGAAGAAGGUUGAUACCUAAUUUCCUGACUUCGGUAAUGAACCAAGAAACCUUAGGCUUGGACUUUCUACAGAUGGAAUGAAUCCAUAUGGCAGUUUAAGUAGUAAUCAUAGUUCAUGGCCUGUUCUAUUGAUUAUUUACAACUUAUCUCCUUGGUUGUGCAUGAAGAGGAAACACAUUAUGUUAUCUAUGAUGAUUUCGGGACCAAAACAACCUGGAAAUGACAUAGAUGUCUAUCUAAGUCCCUUAAUUGAUGACUUAAGAAAGUUGUGGGAUGAAGGAAUUGAUGUGUUCGAUAUUUUUUCAAAUGAAACUUUCAAAUUGCGUGCCAUGUUAUUUUGCACCAUCGACGACUUUCCAGUUUAUGGUAACUUGUCUGGUUACAAAGUUAAGAGGCAUAAAGCAUGCCCUAUAUGUGAAAAAGAUACUUUCUACCAUCAGUUGGAGAAUGGAAAGAAGACUGUUUAUCUUGGACAUCAAAGAUUUCUUAAACGUAACCACCCAUAUCGAAGAUUAAAAAAGGCUUUUAAUGGAUAUCGAGAGUAUAAAGUGGCCCCGCAUGCCUUAACUGGAGAAGAAGUCUAUCAUCGGGUGAGGAACAUAAGUGUUACUUUUGGAAAAAUACAAAAAAAAGUUACAAAUAGUAAUAUAUGGAAGAAGAGGUCCGUAUUCUUUGACCUUCCAUAUUGGUAUAGUCUUGAUGUAAGACAUUGUAUUGAUGUAAUGCACGUGGAGAAAAAUGUGUGUGAUAGUGUAAUUGGAACACUUCUCAACAUUCAAGGUAAGACAAAUGAUGGUUUAAACUCUCGUUUAGAUAUGGUUAAUAUGAAAAUAAGAGAAGAGUUAGCUCCACAACUGAUCGGUCACCAAUUCUACAUACUUUCUGUUAAUUAUUUGAUGAAAAUCUCUCAUUUCGGUAACACUUUAGUUUAGUUUUUUAUCGUUUUAACUUAGUUAUUUCGUAUUUUGCAAAUUUGUACUUGUUUGAUGUUUACUUAUAAUUAGAUGCUUUUGAUACCUUGGUUUGGUAGUUGUUUGUGAUUUCAGAUGCAAUUGAGGCGCACCAAAAGAAGUAGACGGAAAAAUUCCAUAAAGUCGUGGUUUUCCAAGUCAUCCCGUGUCAAGAAGAGAUGAAAAAUGAAGAAAAAGAAUAAAAAAUAAAUGAUACGGGCGCCAGUGUCAAUAGACACGACCGUGUCAAUGUUGCUGAUGGAAAAAGGGAAGCAAAAGAGUGGACAGUAGCUGACACGGGCACCCGUUGUUAGAACAAGAAUUGUUCUGAUUAAUAUUCUUAGUUUUGAUGAUAACAUUAUAUAUGAAUUUUGUAUAAGACAAUGUGGUACUCUAAUCCUAUGCAUUUUCCAUUUCAGGAAAUAUAUAAAGAGUAUGCACAAUUCAGCGCAAGAAGCACUGACUCAGAAGGUUCAAGUAUGCAACAUCAGAACAUACUCUCGCAAGACAUCAGGAGAUGGUCAAGCAGAAUCAAAACAUGGUCUAUGAAGCAUCAGAAGAACUUGAGUUCAGAAGUAGAAGCACUGAAGUUCUUAUGAUAUCAUGCUAGAAGCACUUCAAAGUCAGAAGACAAGAAGAUGCUCUGUACCAAGCUGAAUGACUCUGAUAUUCAAACGUUGUAUCUACAAACAUCAGAUCAGAAGCAAGUACAAGAUGGAAGGCAACGUUGACUGACAAAAGGAACGUUAGAAGCUAUUAAAGGCAAAGUCAGUUAAAGCAGGAAAAGCAAGGCUCAAGGUAUUUGACAAAAGAUUGAAACAUUAAAUGCAAAGUUGUACGGAUCACGCAACGCAUUAAAUGCUCCCAACGGUCAUCUUCUCAUAACGCCUAUAAAUAGUGAAGUUCUGAUCAGAAGCAAGGUUACAACACUUACGGGAACAACUCUGCACAAACAACCUUAAACGCUGCUGAAUCAAAGUCUUACAAACUUCAUCUUCAACCUCACUACUCUUGUAAUAUCUUAGUGAGAUUUAAGCUUAGAACUUAAGAGAAAUAUCACAGUUGUGAUUAUAGCUUUUUAAGAAGCACUUGUAUACUCUUGUAAACACUUAUUUUACAUUGAUUUGUAAAAGGUUCCCAGAGUGAUCAAGUUGUGAUCAGUAGACUCAAGAAGACUUAGAAGUUUCUAAGUGGUGAAUUUCCUAGAGUGAUCAAGGUGUGAUCAGAAUACUCUAGAAGACUUAGAGGGUAUCUAAGUGGAAAACCAUUGUAAUCAAGGUUGAUUAGUGGAUUAAAUCCUCAGGAGAGGUAAAUCAUUCUAAGGGGGUGGACUGGAGUAGUUUCGUUAACAACGAACCAGGAUAAAAAUCAUUGUGCAAUUGUUUUUAUCUUAAGAGUUUUUAAAGUCACACUUAUUCAAACCCCCCUUUUCUAAGUGUUUAUAUCCUUCAAUUGGUAUCAGAGCACCGGUUCUACGUGCGAGCACUUAACCGUGUUAGAAAAAGAUUCAGGGUGAGAAAAACACUAAGUCAAUAUGGUUGAUGCUAUUACUCCUACUACUACAUCUACUUCAAAUGAUCAACACAACAAUGGAAAUGGAAAUGGAUAUACUAGACCACCAGUAUUUGAUGGUGAAAACUUUGAAUACUGGAAAGAUAGAUUGGAAAGUUACUUUCUUGGUCUAGAUGGUGAUUUAUGGGACUUGCUUGUGGAUGGUUACAAACAUCCAGUAAAUGCUAGUGGAGCAAAGAUGUCAAUACAAGAAAUGAGUGAUGAUCAAAAGAAACAAUUUAAAAAUCAUCAUAAGUCAAGGAUUAUUCUGCUAAAUGCUAUUUCUCAUUUUGAAUAUGAGAAGAUAUUAAAUAGGGAAACUGCCCAUGACAUCUUUGAAUCAUUAAAGAUGACUCACGAAGGAAAUGCCCAAGUCAAGGAGACUAAAGCUCUUGCAUUAAUCCAGAAGUAUGAAGCCUUCAAGAUGGAGGAUGAUGAAAACAUUGAAACAAUGUUCUCAAGAUUUCAAACUCUAACUGCUAGAUUAAGAGUGCUUGACAAGGGAUAUACAAAGGCUGAUCAUGUCAAGAAGAUCAUCAUAAGCUUUCCCAGAAGAUGGGGACCAAUGGUGACUGCAUUCAAGAUAGCAAAGAAUCUGAAUGAAGUCUCUUUGAAAGAGCUGAUCAGCGCCUUGAGGAGUCAUGAAAUAGAGCUGGAUGCUAAUGAACCUCAGAAGAAAGGUAAGUAUAUUGCAUUAAAAUCUUUAAAUAAAAAAUGCACUAACGCUUUUCAAGCUGAAGAAGAAGAUUCUGAAGAAUCAGAAUCAGAAGAAGAAGAAGAUGAAUUGUCCAUGAUCUCUAGAAGGGUAAACCAACUCUAGAAAAGUAAGCAAAGGAAGUUUAAGAACUUCAGAAGUUCCAAAAAGCCUGAAAGAGGAGAAUCUUCUGGAAGCAGAAGAAAUGACAAGAAGA
Vicia villosa (hairy vetch) is the source of this 6980-nucleotide long non-coding RNA. RefSeq lists it as uncharacterized. The transcript has 4 exons. NCBI's taxonomy places the organism in Eukaryota, Viridiplantae, Streptophyta, Magnoliopsida, Fabales, Fabaceae. The record is from RefSeq and is a predicted model, not a curated record.